Molecule: non-coding RNA, 73 nt
Organism: Halocaridina rubra (Hawaiian volcano shrimp)
Lineage: Eukaryota; Metazoa; Arthropoda; Malacostraca; Decapoda; Atyidae
Source: the annotation of a GenBank genome assembly
ACCUUCGGUGGUGUAGUUGGUAGCGCCUUGAGUUAGUAAUUAUAAGUCCUAGGUUCAAGUCCCAGUCGGGGUA